This 301-nucleotide ribosomal RNA is filed under the name uncultured bacterium. Its description in RNAcentral is "partial 16S ribosomal RNA". It matches the Rfam family "Bacterial small subunit ribosomal RNA", at positions 509 to 807 of the family's 1533-position model. The record is from RNAcentral.
CAGUAGCCGCGGUAAAACGUAGGUGGCAAGCGUUGUCCGGAAUUAUUGGGCGUAAAGGGCUCGCAGGCGGUUUCUUAAGUCUGAUGUGAAAGCCCCCGGCUCAACCGGGGAGGGUCAUUGGGAACUGGGAAACUUGAGUGCAGAAGAGGAGAGUGGAAUUCCACGUGUAGCGGUGAAAUGCGUAGAGAUGUGGAGGAACACCAGUGGCGAAGGCGACUCUCUGGUCUGUAACUGACGCUGAGGAGCGAAAGCGUGGGGAGCGAACAGGAUUAGAUACCCCAGUAGUCCCUGUCUCUUAUAC